AUGGUUUCUUCCACGCCAUACCUUGUCGUGCUCUUGUGCCUCGCGAGCCUCCUGCAGGCAUCGCUGACGGCGGGUUUUGAGCUGCCGGAAUCCGAGGUGAGAAGCAGGUUUUCCAAGUGGAUGACCAAGUACUCCAAGCGCUACUCAUGCCAUGAGGAGGAGGAGAAGCGGUUCGGAAUCUUCAAGCAGAACACCAACUCCAUCGGCGCAUUCGCCAGCCAGACCACGGUGAACGCCGUCGUGGGUGGGUUCGGGCCGCAGACCAUCACCACGGUCAGGGUGGGCAUGAACAGGUUCGGCGACCUCAACCCCAGCGAGGUCGUCGAGCAGUUCACCGGGUUCAACAACACCGCCUUCCGCACCCCCAAGCCCUCGCCCCUCCCCUACCACUCCUGGAAGCCGUGCUGCGUCGACUGGCGCUCCAGCGGCGCCGUCACCGGCGUCAAGUUUCAGGGCUCUUGCUUGUCAUGCUGGGCGUUCGCGGCCGUGGCGGCCAUCGAGGGCAUGAACAAGAUCAGGACCGGCGAGCUGGUGUCGCUGUCGGAGCAGCAGCUCGUGGACUGCGACACCGGGAGCAGCGGCUGCAGCGGUGGGCGCUCCGACACGGCGCUCGGCCUCGCGGCAGCCCGCGGCGGCCUCACGUCGGAGGCGAAGUACCCGUACAGCGGCAUCCAGGGCAGCUGUGACGUGGACAAGGUGCUGUUCGACAACCAGGCGUCCGUCAAGGGCAUCAAGGCCGUGCCGCCCAACGACGAGCAUCAGCUGGCGCUUGCCGUGGCGAUGCAGCCCGUGACGGUGUACAUCGACGCCAGCGCCUGGGAGUUUCAGUUCUACACCGGUGGCAUCUACCGCGGGCCUUGCUCCUCCGAGGCGACGAGGGUGAACCAUGCCGUCACCAUCGUCGGCUACUGCGAAGGCCCCGGCGACAACAACAAGUACUGGAUCGCCAAGAACUCGUGGAGCAACGACUGGGGUGACCAGGGCUACAUCUACCUCGCCAAGGACGUGUCAUGGCGGACGGGCACCUGCGGCCUCGCCACCUCGCCCUUCUACCCAACGGCUUGA
This 1065-nucleotide ribosomal RNA is filed under the name Triticum aestivum (bread wheat). RNAcentral's name for it is "partial small subunit ribosomal RNA". Lineage: Eukaryota; Viridiplantae; Streptophyta; Magnoliopsida; Poales; Poaceae. The record is from RNAcentral.